Molecule: ribosomal RNA, 253 nt
Filed under: uncultured bacterium
Lineage: Bacteria
Description: partial 16S ribosomal RNA
Rfam family: Bacterial small subunit ribosomal RNA
Source: RNAcentral
UACAGAGGGUGCAAGCGUUAAUCGGAUUUACUGGGCGUAAAGCGUGCGUAGGCGGUUCAUUAAGUCGGUUGUGAAAUCCCUGGGCUUAACCUGGGAACUGCAGUCGAUACUGAUGGACUAGAGUACGGUAGAGGGUGGCGGAACUCCGGGUGUAGCGGUGAAAUGCGUAGAUAUCCGGAAGGACACCGAUGGCGAAGGCAACCACCUGGGCCUGUACUGACGCUGAGGUACGAAAGCCAGGGGAGCAAACGGG